Molecule: ribosomal RNA, 253 nt
Filed under: uncultured bacterium
Lineage: Bacteria
Description: partial 16S ribosomal RNA
Rfam family: Bacterial small subunit ribosomal RNA
Source: RNAcentral
UACGUAGGGGGCUAGCGUUGUCCGGAAUCAUUGGGCGUAAAGCGCGUGUAGGCGGUCCGGUAAGUCCGCUGUGAAAGUCGGGGGCUCAACCCUCGGAUGCCGGUGGAUACUGUCGGGCUUGAGUACGGAAGAGGCGAGUGGAAUUCCUGGUGUAGUGGUGAAAUGCGCAGAUAUCAGGAGGAACACCAAUUGCGAAGGCAGCUCGCUGGGACGUUACUGACGCUGAGACGCGAAAGCGUGGGGAGCAAACAGG